CAGGGCCUCGCCGCCAUCGCCCCGCUCGCUUCCUGUCACAGCGCUUCCCCUCGCGGCCUCGCCGCUGUCGCCUCGCUCUCUGCCCCUCAGAGCGCCGCCAUCUCCCGGCUCCCUGCCCCUCGCGGCCCCGCCGCCGUCGCCCCGCUCCCUGCCCCUCAGAGCGCCGCCAUCUCCCGGCUCCCUGCCCCUCGCGGCCCCGCCGCCGUCGCCCCGCUCCCUGCCCCUCAGGGCCCCGCUGCGCUGUCCCGGGGGCUAUUCCUCCCCCCGGGAGCUUUCUAGAAGGAAGGGAGCAGCGUGAAGGAGGAGGAGGAGGAAGGCUGCUGUCGCCAUUAAGAGUGACAUAUUCAGAAAGAUCCAACUGGCAGCACACUGAUGAAUUCACCUGGCCUCCCCAUGUGUGCAUGUGUCCUAGUGUACCUGCCGUACUCCAGCACGAACCCUGCGAGCUGCCACUCACCUCAUGACUGGGCACCAUUUGUUGAAACUGUCCAGUCAGCAAAUUCGUACCAGCCAUCAAGCGAGUGAACGUGUUGGAGACUUGUAACACAAAUACAAAGAUUGGUAUGGAUGCGUGUGGGGAAACACCAGAAGGAAGAGCA
This 599-nucleotide long non-coding RNA is filed under the name Apteryx owenii (little spotted kiwi). Its description in RNAcentral is "lncRNA (ENSAOWG00000018256.1)". The record is from RNAcentral. Lineage: Eukaryota; Metazoa; Chordata; Aves; Apterygiformes; Apterygidae.